AUUGAACGCUGGCGGCAGGCCUAACACAUGCAAGUCGAACGGUAACAGGAAGAAGCUUGCUUCUUUGCUGACGAGUGGCGGACGGGUGAGUAAUGUCUGGGAAACUGCCUGAUGGAGGGGGAUAACUACUGGAAACGGUAGCUAAUACCGCAUAACGUCGCAAGACCAAAGAGGGGGACCUUCGGGCCUCUUGCCAUCGGAUGUGCCCAGAUGGGAUUAGCUAGUAGGUGGGGUAACGGCUCACCUAGGCGACGAUCCCUAGCUGGUCUGAGAGGAUGACCAGCCACACUGGAACUGAGACACGGUCCAGACUCCUACGGGAGGCAGCAGUGGGAAUAUUGCACAAAGGGCGCAAGCCUGAUGCAGCCAUGCCGCGUGUAUGAAGAAGGCCUUCGGGUUGUAAAGUACUUUCAGCGGGGAGGAAGGGAGUAAAGUUAAUACCUUUACUCAUUGACGUUACCCGCAGAAGAAGCACCGGCUAACUCCGUG
RNAcentral lists this ribosomal RNA (489 nucleotides) under uncultured bacterium. Its description in RNAcentral is "partial 16S ribosomal RNA". It matches the Rfam family "Bacterial small subunit ribosomal RNA", at positions 30 to 507 of the family's 1533-position model. The record is from RNAcentral.